Molecule: unclassified non-coding RNA, 410 nt
Filed under: Hevea brasiliensis (rubber tree)
Lineage: Eukaryota; Viridiplantae; Streptophyta; Magnoliopsida; Malpighiales; Euphorbiaceae
Source: RNAcentral
UUUUUUUGUUUUUAACAUCAGAUCAGCAUACAUUAAUCCAUUUGUUGUCACAGUAGACAUAAACAAGCAAUAAGCACAAACCUCUCUACAAUCCAUUAUAUGUCUAUACCAUAACUAUCUGCCAUCAGAGCAUCUGAUCAUACUAUGUAACCUAACAAAAGGUUUGCUGACUAGACAGCCUCAGCAAAACCAAGUUGAAGCUCACCAAAGUCGAACACAGUAUGAUACACUCUCAUGAACACAUCUCCAAGAAUCCAGAGAGGACCUCUUGGAGGAGGUACGUCAAAAGCCAUGAACCCACUGAUGCAAACUGCUGCAAUGCCGUCUCCAGUUUUCAGAAUAUACUGCUCUGGAGUGAGAUUGAAAGGUUUAUCUCCUAUGGUAAAAGUGAUGUUUGGCAUGCUUAAAAC